Molecule: long non-coding RNA, 925 nt
Organism: Microtus oregoni (creeping vole)
Lineage: Eukaryota; Metazoa; Chordata; Mammalia; Rodentia; Cricetidae
Exons: 3
Source: RefSeq, a predicted model, not a curated record
CGCGCCGGUCUUUCCGUCCCCGGCUCGGAGGCUGAUCCUCCGCAGCCAGGUCCCCAGUGCUCUCAGGCCGAUCCUCCGCAGCCAGGUCCCCAGCGCUCUCAGUCGUGCGGCAGCUUCUGACCCGAGCGCAGGAGGAAAACUACAAGAAAGAAACUCGUGAGCUGAAUGCCAGGAAGUCGAAGGGGGUAAUGCUCCAAGGUGAAGUAGUCUUCCCCUGCAGUGACACGGCUCGCCAGUGUCUUAUGAUUAUCGGCCUUGUAGCAGACGGUGUCACCCACUUGAUUGAUGAGAUAGGUGCUGAAGCCCAUUUUACAGGAAAGGAGACUGAGGGCCAUAUGAGAUAAUCCCAGAAUAGCCUUAUAAUAAUUGCUUGUGCUGAAGAUGGCCCCCCCCAAAAUACGUUUUUGAUUUUCUUUUUUUUGUUCUGGUGGGGAAGGUUCGAGACAGGGUUUCUCUAUGCCUGGCUACCCUGGAACUCAAGACAUUAGCCUUCCUCUGCCUCCGAGUGCUGGAAUUAAAGGUCUAUGCCACCAUGCUUGUUUAUGAUGUGUUAGGGCUUUAAGCAAAGCUGGGACAUUGGUGGCACACACCUUUAAUCUCAGCUCUUGGGAGGCAGAGGCAGGUGGAUUUCUGUGAGUUCGAGGUCAGCCUGGUCUACAAGAGCUAGUACCAGAACAGGCUCCAAAGCUACAGAGAAACCCUGUCUCAAACCAAAAAGAAAAACUGCAAACAAAAGGGGGGAGUAAAGGACAGUCAGGGUAGAUCAUUGGGAUUUGCUGGUCUAGGAGGUGGUGCUUGUGUCCCCUUGCCUGCUAGGACAAGUUCUUUGCUAGCCCAGUCUGUGUCAGUAGUCCCGAUGUUAUUAACCCGUAAAUUGCUGUGUAUCACUUUCCAGAAUCUUAAAUAAAAGCUUUUCCUGUGCCAA